This 253-nucleotide ribosomal RNA is filed under the name uncultured bacterium. Its description in RNAcentral is "partial 16S ribosomal RNA". It matches the Rfam family "Bacterial small subunit ribosomal RNA", at positions 524 to 776 of the family's 1533-position model. The record is from RNAcentral.
UACGUAGGGUGCAAGCGUUAACCGGAAUUACUGGGCGUAAAGCGUUCGCAGGCGGCUUCGCAAGUCAGAUGUGAAAUCCCCGGGCUUAACCUGGGAACUGCAUUUGUGACUGCAUGGCUGGAGUGCGGCAGAGGGGGAUGGAAUUCCGCGUGUAGCAGUGAAAUGCGUAGAUAUGCGGAGGAACACCGAUGGCGAAGGCAAUCCCCUGGGCCUGCACUGACGCUCAUGCACGAAAGCGUGGGGAGCAAACAGG